GUCGUCGCUGUGGAGACAGGUAAGGGGCCGGGGUUGUUCCCACAGAGGGAGGCGGCGAUAUUGCCAAGGUUGGCAACUGGCCAGAAGCCGAUCAGAUCUCGGCUUCUGGCCGCACGGAUGGAAUAUACAAAGUGCCUCUGUAGUUCUGAGGCAGAAGGCAGCACACACAGACCGUUUGGGGAUUAAACAGAAGGCAUAGAAAGAAAACUAGCAGAAAUCACUA
Molecule: non-coding RNA, 223 nt
Organism: Pelobates cultripes (western spadefoot toad)
Lineage: Eukaryota; Metazoa; Chordata; Amphibia; Anura; Pelobatidae
Source: the annotation of a GenBank genome assembly